This 455-nucleotide ribosomal RNA is filed under the name uncultured Intrasporangium sp. RNAcentral describes it as "bacterial SSU rRNA". It matches the Rfam family "Bacterial small subunit ribosomal RNA", at positions 924 to 1382 of the family's 1533-position model. The record is from RNAcentral. Lineage: Bacteria; Bacillati; Actinomycetota; Actinomycetes; Micrococcales; Intrasporangiaceae.
CACAAGCGGCGGAGCAUGCGGAUUAAUUCGAUGCAACGCGAAGAACCUUACCAAGGCUUGACAUACACCGGACACAUCCAGAGAUGGGUGCUUCUUCGGACUGGUGUACAGGUGGUGCAUGGUUGUCGUCAGCUCGUGUCGUGAGAUGUUGGGGUUAAGUCCCGCAACGAGCGCAACCCUCGUUCUAUGUUGCCAGCACGUGAUGUGGGGACUCAUAGGAGACUGCCGGGGUCAACUCGGAGGAAGUGGGGAUGACGUCAAAUCAUCAUGCCCCUUAUGUCUUGGGCUUCACGCAUGCUACAAUGGCCGGUACAAAGGGUUGCGAAGCCGUGAGGUGGAGCGAAUCCCAAAAACCGGUCUCAGUUCGGAUUGGGGUCUGCAACUCGACCCCAUGAAGUCGGAGUCGCUAGUAAUCGCAGAUCAGCAACGCUGCGGUGAAUACGUUCCCGGGCCUU